CCCUUAGAUGUUCUGGGCCGCACGCGCGCUACACUGACGCAUUCAUCGAGUUCACCUUCCUGCAUCGAGAGGUGUGGGGAAUCUGUUGAACCUGCGUCGUGAUGGGGAUAGAUUAUUGCAAUUAUUAAUCUUCAACGAGGAAUGCCUAGUAAGCGUGAGUCAUCAGCUCGCGUUGAUUACGUCCCUGCCCUUUGUACACACCGCCCGUCGCUCCUACCGAUUGGAUGGUCCGGUGAGGUUUUCGGAUUGGCGCAUUGGUUGGUUUCCGACUGGUGCGCCGAGAAGUCACCCAAACCUUAUCAUCUAGAGGAAGGAGAAGUCGUAACA
Molecule: ribosomal RNA, 327 nt
Filed under: uncultured eukaryote
Lineage: Eukaryota
Description: partial 18S ribosomal RNA
Rfam family: Eukaryotic small subunit ribosomal RNA
Source: RNAcentral